AUGGAGGCGGCCACUCUGACGAUAGGCUCCCGGCGCCUGGCCUCCGCCGCCGCUCCGGCUUGGAAUGGCACCCGCCGUGGUACAGCGGCCGCAACCCCGCAGCGUCCCGGAGCAAAGCUUCCGCGGCGGCUCCGCGCGCUGCCGCCGGAGCUGAGCGAGAUCCUCGCGCCCAAGCUGGUGCCCGGCUCGCCCGCCGAUACCGGCGACGUCUCCUCGCUCAUCCCGAUCAGUGCCGUCAUGCUGCUCUUCUACUUCGUGUCCAACUGGGUGUUCCCGGCGGUGGUCAUGCGGGGGAUGCAGCCCACCGCCGAGGACGAAGCCGCCGCUGCAGAAGCAGAAUCCAUGGCGUCGUCGUCGCAGCUGCAGCGGGGGGAUGCCGUCGACGGUAAGAUCCGGCGCAAGGUCAAGAGGAAGAAGAGCAGAAAAGCCGCCACGGAAGCGUAA
RNAcentral lists this ribosomal RNA (444 nucleotides) under Triticum aestivum (bread wheat). Its description in RNAcentral is "partial small subunit ribosomal RNA". Lineage: Eukaryota; Viridiplantae; Streptophyta; Magnoliopsida; Poales; Poaceae. The record is from RNAcentral.